This is a long non-coding RNA of Mustela erminea (ermine), 1273 nucleotides long. RefSeq lists it as uncharacterized. Lineage: Eukaryota; Metazoa; Chordata; Mammalia; Carnivora; Mustelidae. The record is from RefSeq and is a predicted model, not a curated record. The transcript has 3 exons.
UUCUGACUAUAGCUGUUAAAUCUGUCUAGUCUAGGGUGUCAUUCAAAGCCAUUGUUUCUUUGUCGAUUUUCUCUUCAGAUGAUCUGCUCAUUGAGGAAACCAGUGAACAAACUACCAUGCCUUCUUACUCCUGUGAACCUUUAGAAGAUUUGAAACUCCUCUUCAAACGACUAUGAAGUGUCUCCCCGCCUGGUCUCCCUGGGGAGACUCUUCCAGUUGCCGUUACUUCAAGCUGACCGAUGAUCCUUUCUACUUGAGAUUUGCAUGGGUUUGUCUACCUUGGAUUCAGCUGCCUCUGCCUUUGGUAACUCCUCUGUAUAAAUUACCCAACUGAUCGAUGUUGACUUGUAGGUAGGGACGUCGCUGUGCCCCUCUUCAGCAGGAAGAAGUUACAGAAGAUAAAAACUUUCCAGCCUCAGCGACCUUAAAGAUUGAAGGGUCAAAAUUGUUUGGGGAGUGGGGGGACGGGGUGAUGAGGAGAACAAAGGCAAGAGAAAUGCAGCUAAAAUUAAAUUACCUCAUAGUUUUCAGCCCACUGAUAAAUACACAAGACCUGCAGAGCAUGACAUUCCCCAAGGAACUUGUGGCUGCGUUCAUGUUAAUGUUUUGCUAGAGACUAAAAGCAACCUGGUCUUGACAAUAAUAGCCAGAUCUCCAGGAUCCUAUAAAUAUUCUUUCACAUGUAGAAAUCCCUUUAGAGACUUAGGUUAUCUAUAUACUUCUAAGUUUGGGGGUGGGUGGCAUGUAAUCAGUUGCUCCUCACAAUCCUAAGUGCAACUCAUUGCCCCGCGGGGGUCCUAUGCCUGUGCUAUAAUAAAGGCACCUUCUUGUAUCGUAAGAUGUCUCAGGAAUUCUUUCUCCACGAACCCACAUCAGUAACUGCUAGGAGAGCGGUGAUAUGGGGUAUUUAGGAAACACAGACAAGGGCUACAUUCUGGUGGAGUGGGGGAGUGUAUUACAGAGGGGCUGAGUUUCUUAAGAGGGAAUCCCAUUAGCUCCAUGAUUGGCUCAGUGAUCCCUGCAGCCAGUUACACUAGUUAAGCAGCUGUGAGGGUUGAGCUUAGCUCACAUCAUUCUCUUGCUCUCACUGGUUGGGGACGUGCCUGUCCAUCACUGUAACCACCUGCCUCAUGGGGCUCUUCAGCAUCUGAGGUACAGAUCAUCUGAACUGAGAUGUGCUGUAAAUGUAAAUUAUAUUGCAGAUUUCAGAAAUUGAGUGUAAAAAAAAUCACAUUAAUAUUUUUAUAUUACAUGUUCAAACGAUAACUGUCUU